UGUGGGAGCGGGCUUGCUCGCGAAUGCGUCGUAUCAGCCAGCAUCACCGACAACUGGCCCAGCGCUUUCGCGAGCAAGCCCGCUCCCACA
RNAcentral lists this unclassified non-coding RNA (90 nucleotides) under Pseudomonas sp. NFACC39-1. RNAcentral also lists the same sequence under 1 other name. The record is from RNAcentral. Lineage: Bacteria; Pseudomonadati; Pseudomonadota; Gammaproteobacteria; Pseudomonadales; Pseudomonadaceae.